UAGCUGCACAAUUGGCGGCUUCUCAAGAAGGGCUCAGCUCCAUGAGUGAGUGAGUGAGUGAGUGUUGCUCUUUACACUUUGGAGCAACAAGGUUCCUGGUUCUGCACUUCAUCGUCUCUCUUAUGUUUCUGUUGCUACCCUUACUGACUGCUUGUGGUCUGAGUUUAUUUCUCACUCACUCUCGUGUUUUCUUGCAGUUCUCUCCGUUUUCCCUUUAUAUUUCAUCAUAGGUGUUCCUGUAGGACUUGAGGUUCUCACAGGGUGGCCAUGCAGCUUUCUGUCUUCUGGGAUAUGAUGCCAAUGAAAGUCAACUGAUGUUUGAGAGGAGCACAUCGCCUUUUUCUUCAGGUUUCAGAAGAAUGAACAAAGCAAGAGACAGGCAAGAAGCAGAGCUCUGUAUGUAUUGUGCAUCAGGUACAAGUUCUAAUGUCAUUGCGUUCUCUUCAGACAGUUCUGAAGACAUGUUUUUUUAUGUUUGCAGUGAUAUAUGGUGUAAUGUUGGAGAAUAUGUUAGUAACCAAAGGUGAAUGUUGAUAUUUACAUAAGAGCGUGUUUUAAAUCAUGUUUGUAGUAAUACUAGCAGCUUUAUGUAUUUGUAUUUUGAUUUGUGGUGUAUAUAAACCAUGAGCGUUCAUGGAAGUGUGUUGCAUAUGCCAUUUUUACUAACAGAAAAAUGGGAACACUGCUACAUCCGUGACAUCUCUUGCCAUUUUGGUGUACUUUUACUUUGUUUUUACCGUUGUGAGGAAUGUAGGUGUUAGUGAAGCUGGACCUGGAACCAAUAACACAGUUAAAGAAGAACCGGCUAUUGAUAUGCUGGAUAGUCUACACGCUUCCACAUAAGUCAAACAACUCAGAACAUUUUUCAAGAAUUGUUAUUGCGAUAAAGCCAUAUCUCAUUUUAAGAGUGAAGGUUACUUCCGUCUGUUCACAAUGGACCAAUAACUGGUCUAAGUGCAUGGGGUAACCCACCCCCUCUCAUAAUACGAAUAAUACGAAUACUUCCGUCUGUUGCGACAGCAUUGCUUUUAGAAUAUAAAGAACCAAUUGAAAAUCAGCUGUACAAGAAAAGCUGUCAGAAAACAGACUGAAAGUUUUGAAUGGGAGUGAGAAAUAUGGAUACACCUACAUGAUGCAAUUCUUGUAUUCAUUUUGCAUGCCAACAAUAUACAUGACUGCAAUGAAAUCUUUGUAGCCAGUUGUGUCAGUGUUGAGUUAAAAACCAAUGUUUUGGGACCUCAGCCCCCAUCACAGUGGCUCUAAAGAAUAGUGUCUGCUGUAAUGUGGUGUAGUCUGGUAAAAGUUCACAUUCACUUCAGAAGAAUGUGGUGCCUUGAUCUUCAGGGUAGAAAAACAAGUGCACCAAUGGCUUACUCGGCUUCUUUUUUGUCCCUGAAGACAAAUUUCCUCUGAAAUGUUGGUGAAUUUCUACAAGAUUAUGCUGCCCAACAUUGCAGAAGUUAAUACUCUUCAAAUUUAAUUUUAGUAUCAUUCCAAAUGUACAUGAAGCUGUAAUAAAUUUUUGUAUUAGUUUUCUGGUAAUAAAAAAUACUGAUGCAUAACAUAUGA
Molecule: long non-coding RNA, 1569 nt
Organism: Cryptotermes secundus
Lineage: Eukaryota; Metazoa; Arthropoda; Insecta; Blattodea; Kalotermitidae
Exons: 2
Source: RefSeq, a predicted model, not a curated record